RNAcentral lists this ribosomal RNA (174 nucleotides) under uncultured Rhodococcus sp. Its description in RNAcentral is "partial 16S ribosomal RNA". It matches the Rfam family "Bacterial small subunit ribosomal RNA", at positions 339 to 525 of the family's 1533-position model. The record is from RNAcentral. Lineage: Bacteria; Bacillati; Actinomycetota; Actinomycetes; Mycobacteriales; Nocardiaceae.
CUACGGGAGGCAGCAGUGGGGGAUAUUGCACAAUGGGCGGAAGCCUGAUGCAGCGACGCCGCGUGAGGGACGAAGGCCUUCGGGUUGUAAACCUCUUUCAGCAGGGACGAAGCGUGAGUGACGGUACCUGCAGAAGAAGCACCGGCUAACUACGUGCCAGCAGCCGCGGUAAUA